UGGUGAUCUAAGGAGGAGCUCCUUUUGUU
This 29-nucleotide non-coding RNA is filed under the name Rattus norvegicus (Norway rat). Lineage: Eukaryota; Metazoa; Chordata; Mammalia; Rodentia; Muridae. The record is from RNAcentral.